GUCGAACGAUGAUCAGGAGCUUGCUCCUGUGAUUAGUGGCGAACGGGUGAGUAACACGUGAGUAACCUGCCCCUGACUCUGGGAUAAGCGUUGGAAACGACGUCUAAUACUGGAUAUGACUACUGGCCGCAUGGUCUGGUGGUGGAAAGAUUUUUUGGUUGGGGAUGGACUCGCGGCCUAUCAGCUUGUUGGUGAGGUAAUGGCUCACCAAGGCGACGACGGGUAGCCGGCCUGAGAGGGUGACCGGCCACACUGGGACUGAGACACGGCCCAGACUCCUACGGGAGGCAGCAGUGGGGAAUAUUGCACAAUGGGCGAAAGCCUGAUGCAGCAACGCCGCGUGAGGGAUGACGGCCUUCGGGUUGUAAACCUCUUUUAGUAGGGAAGAAGCGAAAGUGACGGUACCUGCAGAAAAAGCACCGGCUAACUACGUGCCAGCAGCCGCGGUAAUACGUAGGGUGCAAGCGUUGUCCGGAAUUAUUGGGCGUAAAGAGCUCGUAGGCGGUUUGUCGCGUCUGCUGUGAAAUCCCGAGGCUCAACCUCGGGCUUGCAGUGGGUACGGGCAGACUAGAGUGCGGUAGGGGAGAUUGGAAUUCCUGGUGUAGCGGUGGAAUGCGCAGAUAUCAGGAGGAACACCGAUGGCGAAGGCAGAUCUCUGGGCCGUAACUGACGCUGAGGAGCGAA
Molecule: ribosomal RNA, 684 nt
Filed under: Curtobacterium pusillum
Lineage: Bacteria; Bacillati; Actinomycetota; Actinomycetes; Micrococcales; Microbacteriaceae
Also listed under: 1 other name
Description: bacterial SSU rRNA
Rfam family: Bacterial small subunit ribosomal RNA
Source: RNAcentral